CAAAUAAUAAUGAUAACAAUAUUGGGCUUUCUUCACAUGGUUUAUUUUGGGUUGGGCUUUCCCAGCCCAAUUCUUCACUUUCCUACCCUUUUCUAAGAAACCUUUUCCAAGUUUCCUAUUUGCCCCUCGACGCUUUUAAUAGUGAGGCUGAUCGUUUUCUUGGGGCACAAACUCAACUAAACUUGUGAACCCUUAUGUAAGCGAAAUUCAAUCUAUUCAUGCACCACCUACUAUAUACAAAUGUGAAAGCUUAAGAUCACAAUAAAACUUUGAAGAGAUUGCAGAGGUUUGAAGAUAACGGGGACGAAUUGAAAAGAUUGAGGCAGAGGAUGUUUCAUCGUUCGGAAGAGAAGGUUGUGGCAGUACUAGAUUGAACAGAUGGGCAUGAGGGGACGGUGGUGGUGACGGGGCCGAAAGAUGGUCGGAUUGGAGAUACCUUUCUUCGCGUGCAUGAGGAUUUGGAAAAAUUAAAGUUUUAGAAUAUAAAUUUGUAAUUUUAAAUUUAUUAAUAAAAAAUAAAAAAACUAUUUUAUGUUUUUUCUAUUGACAUCAAAUAAUUGUUGCGGGAAGCGUUAUCCAAAAAAAUUUCGUCUUUUCCGCCAAAAACGCGAAUUUUUCCAAUUUGUGAUCGUUUUUCCUUCUCCUUCCUAUUUUGUGAGAUACACAAUUGUCAUAGUAGACC
Molecule: long non-coding RNA, 682 nt
Organism: Cucumis sativus (cucumber)
Lineage: Eukaryota; Viridiplantae; Streptophyta; Magnoliopsida; Cucurbitales; Cucurbitaceae
Exons: 2
Source: RefSeq, a predicted model, not a curated record